RNAcentral lists this ribosomal RNA (466 nucleotides) under uncultured bacterium. Its description in RNAcentral is "partial 16S ribosomal RNA". It matches the Rfam family "Bacterial small subunit ribosomal RNA", at positions 28 to 505 of the family's 1533-position model. The record is from RNAcentral.
GACGAACGCUGGCGGCGUGCUUAACACAUGCAAGUCGAACGGAAAGGCCCUGCUUUUGUGGGGUGCUCGAGUGGCGAGCGGGUGAGUAACACGUGAGUAACCUGCCCUUGACUUUGGGAUAACUUCAGGAAACUGGGGCUAAUACCGGAUAGGAGCUCCUGCUGCAUGGUGGGGGUUGGAAAGUUUCGGCGGUUGGGGAUGGACUCGCGGCUUAUCAGCUUGUUGGUGGGGUAGUGGCUUACCAAGGCUUUGACGGGUAGCCGGCCUGAGAGGGUGACCGGCCACAUUGGGACUGAGAUACGGCCCAGACUCCUACGGGAGGCAGCAGUGGGGAAUAUUGCACAAUGGGCGGAAGCCUGAUGCAGCAACGCCGCGUGCGGGAUGACGGCCUUCGGGUUGUAAACCGCUUUCGCCUGUGACGAAGCGUGAGUGACGGUAAUGGGUAAAGAAGCACCGGCUAACUACG